RNAcentral lists this ribosomal RNA (465 nucleotides) under uncultured bacterium. RNAcentral's name for it is "partial 16S ribosomal RNA". It matches the Rfam family "Bacterial small subunit ribosomal RNA", at positions 28 to 507 of the family's 1533-position model. The record is from RNAcentral.
GACGAACGCUGGCGGCGUGCUUAACACAUGCAAGUCGAACGGAAAGGCCCCUUUGGGGGUACUCGAGUGGCGAACGGGUGCGUAACACGUGAGUAACCUGCCCUUGACUUCGGGAUAACUUCAGGAAACUGGGGCUAAUACCGGAUGGGAAUCCUUGCUGCAUGGUGGGGGUUGGAAAGCUUCGGCGGUUUUGGAUGGACUCGCGGCUUAUCAGCUUGUUGGUGGGGUAGUGGCUUACCAAGGCUUUGACGGGUAGCCGGCCUGAGAGGGCGACCGGCCACAUUGGGACUGAGAUACGGCCCAGACUCCUACGGGCGGCAGCAGUGGGGAAUAUUGCACAAUGGGCGGAAGCCUGAUGCAGCAACGCCGCGUGCGGGAUGACGGCCUUCGGGUUGUAAACCGCGUUCAGCAGGGGCGAAGCUUGUGGUGACGGUACCUGCAGAAGAAGCACCGGCUAACUACGUG